RNA transcript from Lynx canadensis (Canada lynx), 5025 nucleotides. It is a transcript of the gene named XK related 6, with no coding region annotated. The record is from RefSeq and is a predicted model, not a curated record. Lineage: Eukaryota; Metazoa; Chordata; Mammalia; Carnivora; Felidae. The transcript has 3 exons.
GCGCAGCGCCUGUGCCGCCUCUCCGUGUGGAUCUGGCAGUCGGUCAUCCACCUGCUGCAGAUGGGGCAGGUGUGGAGCUCUAAGCGAAAGACAUGAGGCCUAAGACUGAAAUGAGGUUGUUUUGAGGCCAUCUGAUUUCUGACUAGAAGGUGUGCGAUCGCCUCGUCCUGAAACCACUGCAAACAGAAUGGUUUGCAAUUUUUUUUGGUGAUGGCAUGUUCAGAAUCUUGGAUCCCUAAGUUGAAUAUGUUGGAAAUAUUUAGGAACUCUGGAAAUUAUUGUUUUGUGUAUAUAAUGGCUUACUAGGUGAAUCAGUAGAUUUAAUAAAAAGUAUAUAAAAGACUAGGUAUUAUAAUUUUGUGUUUCUAAGUUGACAUGCAUAUCUCAAAUUGUCAUCUAUCAGUAUUAGUGUCAUUCUCUGGAGAUAGUCCUAUUUUGAAGAUUUGGGGGUUUUUAUGGACCCCGUAUUUCCCCAGGCAGUUUAUGUAUUCCCCUACUCCUUGGGCCAGUUUGUUCAGCUCCUUUACCUUUCUACUACUGUGCAGUGUAGCUUACUUAGAUCAGUGGUAAUUAUUGAACAGGAAGAGAUCAAGUGACAGUCCUAGAGAUAGUAAUUAUAAAAUUUCAGCCUGGAAAUGACCUCAGAACGGUCUGUAUUCGAAUAUACAGAUUAUAUCCAAAUACACUUGUGACAAAACGCUGCCGAUUUUCUCCUUGGAUAUUAUUAUCUAGGAGCAGAAGUGCUAAUAGGGAGGAAAAAGAACUGUUCAGUUUUACCUCUUCCCUCUCUCCCUAUUGUUGGGCGAAUGGGUUAGGGGAAAGUAAGAUGGCCAAGAGAUAGACCAUGGUAAACAAAAAGGAGGAAAAACAAAUUUUAAUCUCCAAGAAAGAAUAUUUCCCUUUAAAAAUUCGAAAGUUAGCUCCAUUCUGUGUACCUGAACAUACUGUUUUAAAACUGUGGGCUCACUUUCACAUAGGCCCAGAAUGUGAGCUAGGGUAUGCUUAUGCUUAACCAUAGAAAUGGCUGGAGAACUUGUUAUUUGAUAGGAGAGUCAGACAGUCCUUGGGUGACAGUCAGUGGUUGACUUGUUCCCUGACCUGUUCCUGCUGGGAUUAACAGAUUUGAGGAAUUUUCUGGGGCAGUUAUUUUGAUGGUCAAAUGAUACAACAGCCUCUCUACCCCUUUGACCAAAACUGAGGAAAAAAUUGAUUUUUAAGACUGUAUUUAGAACAGCCUGAAAAAGGAUCAUGGGAAAAGGCUGAGGUAGUCCAGUAGAAUGUUAAUGUAUUUGACUAUUACAAGGUUUAUUAUUGGUAGAUUAUCCAAUAAUACGGAAGUUGGUGUAUAACCCAAGUUUUCAUAACGUUUCUAUUAGAAGACUUCCAGAACUAAAUAAAAUACACCCUCCACCCCUUUGCUUUACUUUGCUUUGCUUUAAGAGGAUUUGACUGAUAGGUAUAUUUAAUAGGUGGCACAAUGAAGACAUUAGAUUUUUAAAAAUCAGGUUACAUUUUAAUUUAAAUGUGUGUUGCCUCUUUGCUGCUUUCCCAUUACAACUGGCUUUUUAAAAACUCUCCUUCUGUGAUACUUUUGUCAAUAGAGGUGUUUCCUCUUAGCCAGUUCUAGCCACAGUAUUGACUGGGCCUCAGCAUUUGAUAUACCCAGAAGGAAUUAGACAGACAGGAAAAAAGUUGGUCUAUACUGAAAUGAAUAUUUUAAAAACCUUCUUAGAUUCUGAACACUUUGAGUACAAAUGAAAGAGACCCAAGAGGGGGGAAAAUUUAAGAGCCCAAGAAUAAAAAAAUGGUGGGGGUGGGGGAUAACCCCUUACAUAGCUAACUAAGGUAUAAUAAGGGAAGGAAAUUAAUUUCCUGGAGAUUAUGAGAUAGAAUAUGAAAUCCCUUGGAUAGUAGGCAUUCUUAGACUCAUUAGGGUAGUUCACACUAGCACACUGCAGUAUUGUAAGGACAGUGGUAUGUGAUCUGGGGAAAUAUUAAUGGAUUUCCUAACACAGAGUUUGAUAUUUAUUGUAGUGUGUUAUAAAUGGGUAUGCAGCUCAAAAAUGAAUAUAAUUCAAAAUAAGUAUCGUAGAUACUAGAGAAAAUGUUAUAAAAUCUGGAUCUUUUGUCUCUAUUUUGCAACGUUAGAGAGUAAUGUAGAAUACAGAGCAUAGUAGAGAAUUGAUGGCAUGACUAUAAUCAGUAUUUGAUGGUUGCUUACUAGAAACUUCUAAAUAAAACCUGACAUUUGUCUAAUGUUGUCCUUAGUUGUACUGUAACAAUUUUAGUGAGAAAAUGUGUACCUUCUUGGGUCACUCUACUCCAUAGUCUGGCACAUCACUGUGGAAAUGUAGAAAUCUAAGCUCGUUUACCCAGAGAGGAAUGGAUCUUUGUAAAUUUGGAUACAGUAAGUACGUAGGGACACACACAGAAUGUGAGCCUAGAACAGUGGUUCUUGGUAUUUCGGCACUUUUCGACCCCCUUUUGAAAACCUGAAGGUAACUAUGGAUCCUUUCCCCAACAAGACUGCAAUUUCUGAGGGUAGAGGGACUGCCCUUGGCUGUCAGGUCAGGAAGCCCUGAUCUACAAGAUCAUCUUCAUUUUACUUCUGACCUUGCUCUUGACUUUAUUGUCAACUGUCUGUCAGGGGUUCUCGAAUGGAGCUUCAAAUCUUGAAGGACGCUUACUGCCUUACUCAUUGAACUGAAGCCCCAUGUCCAGAGCUCUGUAACGUAAUGGAGCAGACGUCGUUCACAAAACGCUGCCCCACAAGUACAGUGGUAAAAAGAGAGCCUGAGGCAUUUGUGUGUGGCACAGCCUCCUGGGUAGUACCUCCUUCCUACUGGCACAGGGGGGUUUAUUCCAUAGUAAGUUGAAUCUUGAUGUUCUGUUUUUAAAAUGAGCAUAUUUCUUCUAAAACCUCGAAUUAUUAUAAAGGUUUCUAACUGUGAUUUUUUCCUCGUGUCAUAGGAUGUCACAUUAAUGGUGUAAAAUGUGCACUUCAAAUUAACAUAGUAACUGGGAACCUGGGAUUGUUAUUUUGUGACUCAAAUCUAUAACACGUUUUCAGGGGAAUUGUUGAGAUGACCGGAUAAUUCAUUCUUUAUUCCUUUUAAGUUCCUGAAUGUAUGAUUGUUUCUGAAUCUUAUUAAGCCAUUUAUAAGAUGAGACAAAACUGUCUUCAGUUCGUAUUUUGACACAGAAUGCAUACAUUGAAUUGAUCUUAUUAGAAAUGUGUUUUUGACAAAAAAUUCUAUUUGAGUGGCUCUAAUCUUCAUUUUGGAAUCUCAGAUCCCCUGCUCGUUAUGUCGUUCACUGGGACUUUGCUGCAAAAUACAGCUUCGCUGAGAAGGCCAUCCUUGAAAAAUCAAGAAAUCUGAAGAAACUUACUUUGGGACUUGAGUAAAGAGACGGAAGAGCAUCGUCAGAUUGACAGCGCAGCACACUCUGGAAACAUCUUCGACUGCACUGCUUUUGUACAUGAAACAAUUUGACUGUUUUAUGAACUGGACCUAUAGAGAGAGAAAACAACCUCAUAAAAUGUAUCUUUAAUAUAAGAAAACAGGACUCUGGCCUUUGAAACAUUUCUGUCAGGACAGUUUGUUCUGACUACUCACUGAGGGAGGGAGGAGCUUGGGUCAUUGAACUCGACUGAAAGUUAGUUGCCAUGUAUUCUGGAUUUGAAGGUGUUUUUUUAAUUUCCUGUCAGAAUAUAGUGUUUUGGGCUUUUGCACCAUCUGCCUUCCAUGUGCCUUUCCUGUCCCCUGAGAGAGGAGCUGGAGUUCACCUGUGCCCUGAUACUUGUUCUCUGUCCUUUCUUUUCUAUACUGUUGACUUAAAUGUGGGGAAAUGUGGAGCAGGUGGAGGAUUCCAGGAUCCUGUUAAAUCUAUCCCGCUAUCCCUCCCAGGUAGUUGUAUUGCUUUUCCUUUUCAGCUCCUCUCAGUGUUGCCCAAUUUUAGCCCCUCGGUUAGGUCGAGGCGGCAUUAAAAUCACACCUUUUGAGGCUCCCUUCCCAUCGUCCUUUUUGUUCUGCCUGCAGUGGGCGGUUUUCAGUUGUCCUACUGGGCCACAUGUGCUCUCUCAUUUCCCUCCCCCUUCUUGCGUGUUCUGCUGGAGAGAGAAAACAGAUCUAGACUUGGGGAUUUGAGUUGCGUGGUUUGCCCCCACAGAUGCACAGCACGGUGUUUAAAAUACAGCCUCUUAGCUGUGCUGUCCACAGUAGUCUCCUUCAUACCUCUGCUCUAUGCUGGGCACUGUCCCCUCGUCCUCUCCACCGCUCGAUUCUCCUGAGGCCGGGAAUGGACCGCAUGGCGCCAUCCACGCAGGGGGAACCGUAGUUGACCUCUGUGUAAGCUUGCUAGUUCUGAGGUCAUGAGUUAACGAGGGAGCUGAAGAGUUCCCCGGGUCCUCCACCGGACUCUGGUAAAAGCAGAUCAUGUGCAGAGAAAGUCCUCAUGCCGGAAUGAUUUUGAAAACAAGAUUUGUCCAAAGAAAUAGGCCAAAUUCCAGGUUAACCGUGAACCCACAUUGACUCUCCUGGUGUGCCUUACUUUCCACAAAAUAAAAACCUUACCAAAUGAACCCUGACGUAAGUCAAAUGUGGUAUUACUCAAAAAGAGUUUUUACAAGUAGUUUUCAGAAACAUGUGCAAAUAAAUAUGUUUUGUAUGAAAGAGUAUAUACUAUGUACAAUAAUUUUCUGAUUCUUGCUCUAAUAAAUAUUAAACUUAAGCGGUCUCCGCAUUUGAGCCCUAAUAGUUUGAAAUUAUUUUUUCGAAAUUACUUUCUUGAGCAACAUUUUAAGGUACACAGUCUUUUUACUUUUCAUGUAACGUGCAAGUGUUCUUAGAAGCUGUUGACACGUGUUUGUUUUCCACAUGUGAACCUACUGUGUCUUCAGUAAGAGUUUCUGAACCUUUGGCUGUAAUUACCAAGCGCUGGGGGUUGGGCUGGCUGGAAAUGCGUGUUGAGCUUUUCUGUGUAUGCAGCAAACUGUGUGCAAAUAAAGUAGCUUUGUACCCUGAA